UGAGGAAUAUUGGGCAAUGCCCGAAAGGGUGACCCAGCAACGCCGCGUGGAGGAUGAAGGUCGUAAGAUUGUAAACUCCUGUUAGAGGGGAAGAAUAACUAAGUUUGGAGCUUAGUAUGACUGUACCCUCAGAGAAAGCCCCGGCUAACUACGUGCCAGCAGCCGCGGUAAUACGUAGGGGGCAAGCGUUGUCCGGAUUUAGUGGGUGUAAAGGGCGCGCAGGCGGAAUGGAAAGUCAGUGGUGAAAUCCUACAGCUUAACUGUAGAACUGCCUUUGAUACUGUUAUUCUUGAGUGCGGGAGAGAGAGACGGAAUUCCAGGUGUAGUGGUGAAAUACGUAGAUAUCUGGAAGAACACCAGUUGCGAAGGCGGUCUCUUGGUCCGACACUGACGCUGAGGCGCGAAAGCGUGGGGAGCAAACA
Molecule: ribosomal RNA, 422 nt
Filed under: uncultured bacterium
Lineage: Bacteria
Description: bacterial SSU rRNA
Rfam family: Bacterial small subunit ribosomal RNA
Source: RNAcentral